AGUGAACGCUGGCGGUAGGCCUAACACAUGCAAGUCGAACGGCAGCACAGUAAGAGCUUGCUCUUACAGGUGGCGAGUGGCGGACGGGUGAGGAAUACAUCGGAAUCUACUUUUUCGUGGGGGAUAACGUAGGGAAACUUACGCUAAUACCGCAUACGACCUACGGGUGAAAGCAGGGGAUCUUCGGACCUUGCGCGAUUGAAUGAGCCGAUGUCGGAUUAGCUAGUUGGCGGGGUAAAGGCCCACCAAGGCGACGAUCCGUAGCUGGUCUGAGAGGAUGAUCAGCAACACUGGAACUGAGACACGGUCCAGACUCCUACGGGAGGCAGCAGUGGGGAAUAUUGGACAAUGGGCGCAAGCCUGAUCCAGCCAUACCGCGUGGGUGAAGAAGGCCUUCGGGUUGUAAAGCCCUUUUGUUGGGAAAGAAAAGCAGCAGGUUAAUACCCCGCUGUUCUGACGGUACCCAAAGAAUAAGCACCGGCUAACUUCGUG
This 492-nucleotide ribosomal RNA is filed under the name uncultured bacterium. Its description in RNAcentral is "partial 16S ribosomal RNA". It matches the Rfam family "Bacterial small subunit ribosomal RNA", at positions 29 to 507 of the family's 1533-position model. The record is from RNAcentral.